Long non-coding RNA from Gossypium arboreum, 921 nucleotides. RefSeq lists it as uncharacterized. The transcript has 4 exons. The record is from RefSeq and is a predicted model, not a curated record. Lineage: Eukaryota; Viridiplantae; Streptophyta; Magnoliopsida; Malvales; Malvaceae.
AAAAGCGUCGAACGAUUGCCCAAUCAAAAAUUACUAAUACAUGUCCUGUCGACUGACCAUCAUUACUCAUUUCUUUUUGACGGUUUCAGUUCUCGGGAAAGCUUCUCCUUUCAAAAUCUUAUUCAUUUACUUUUCUUAAGACGAUCCUCUCAUUUAUCUUCUUCUUUGAUCAUAUUCAGUCUGGUUCACGCACCCAAUCGAUUUCCUUUUGAUUUUCGGCAUACCCAGAGACCUUUAUUACCAGAGAAUCUCCUUUGAUUAUGAUUGCCAGCCAUUUCUUUUCGAUUCCUAUUUGGACUGUUUUUCUACAUGCAAUUGCUUCAGCAGCAAAGGCGGAUGCCACCCCUUGAUGGAUUUUUGAGCAAGAUAAGAGGACUAUCCCUUCUUUAUUCCUGGCCACAAUACCUGAAGCCAAUUGGUAAUGGCGCCCAUCAUACAAUCAAACAUAAUUUUAAUGAAUUCACUAGUAUUUCUUUCUCCCCAGAUGGCCCAGAGUGCACAACAAAAAAGAUAAUAUUAACAAGGGGUAAACUGAUCAAAAACUUAGGGCAUUCACGAAAUAUAUGAUCGAUUGUUUUAGCUCUUCCGCGACAUUGGGGGCAACUUGUAUUAUUCCUGUUUUUUUUUCCUGCAUAUUGACUAUUGUAGGCAAAUAGUUUCGUGAUAUUCUCCAGAUUGUAAACUUGAUUUUUGUUGGUAGAUUUAGGAGCCAGAGUUUUUUUGUAAAAUUUCCUGUAGACGGUUUGUAAAGUGUAAGCUCUAGGAUUUUCAUCAGAAGUUUGUAAUAGUUUAUAGUCGCUCCGAACCAAAAACUUGUCGGAAGAUUCACCUCCCCAGACAAGAAAUCAUCAUGAGGUACUCGUGCCAAGGGGAUCCGGAGGAUUUUUUUUGUAUCUUCCUCUGAAAAGGUAUUGUUAAUCA